This 1737-nucleotide long non-coding RNA is filed under the name Marmota monax (woodchuck). Lineage: Eukaryota; Metazoa; Chordata; Mammalia; Rodentia; Sciuridae. The record is from RNAcentral.
CAGCCCCUCUCAAUUGAAGGGCUUUCUUUGUGGUCUAUAGAAAACUAAUGACUACCUAGGGAGAACUUUGAAAACAUAAAGCGUACAGUAUUCUUUGAUUAUGUGGUCUAUCUGAAAUUGAAUGGAGCAAAAAAACUGAACAUGAAAAGUUCAAAGUGUCCUUCCUUAGAGUUCUUUCUUCUAAUUCCAAGGCAUUUUUUUUUUCUCUUUCUAAAAUCAAUGAUGAAGAGUGAGCUGUGAAAAAAUUCAAAUACUGGAUUUUUAAUCCCAGGUAAGUGGCAUAAUUUUUAAGCAGGUAGCUGCUUUUUUGUUAGUUAAUAUUUAAUCUGAUGCUUCAAAGGUCAUUGAAAACCAGUUAAAAUGUUACCCAACAAAUGCUCUGGUUACUUCUAAUGAUGUUAAAAUGUAAAUUCCUAGCCUUCCUGUGGAAGAGGGGUCCUUUGAAAGCAGUGGACUUCCGGUCCAGGGUACUGGGCUAGCCUAGCAUUGUUUCAGACAGGGUGUCCUGUAGCCUUGGGACUCUGGGUGCUCAGAGGUGGCUUACUCCUCAGCAGGAGGGGGUUUCAUAUGCAAUCCAGCUAUUUCUGUAAGGUGGGUCACCAUAUAUAUGUAGGUAUAUACAUAUAUAUGUAGGUUUUAUUUGAUCCUAGCUGUCUGACAUUAUUCAAAUUCCUAAAUGUUUCCAAGGCCCACUGAUUAAAAGAAAAUAAAAACUACCCACAUUAACAUUUGUGAGGAGUAAAUGAUAUCAAUUACUGAUUUUCUCUAAAUAGGGAAUCAAUAGGAGAGGACUCAGGACAGUACCUGAUACAAUAAGUACUCUUUUUCCUCUAAGAAUCUGGUCUAGGCCCAGCUAACCAUAAAGUUACAAGGACCAAUGAAUUGCUAACAACAUAAAAACUUGUAAUGCCAGACCCAGCUAAUUUGAAUUGUUGAUCAUCUGUAUAAACUAUGUAAUCAGGGGCUGGGGGUGUAGACUGGCAUGUGUAGAGACCUGGGUUCCAUCCCAGUACCACCACCACCACCACCAAAAAAAAAAAAAGUGUAAUCAGUUUCAAGGUUGUAAGAAAAGAGACUGAUGAAAAACUGAAUUUAUUUUUAACUAAGUUAGCAAAAAGAGCUGUUUGAUUAAGGAAUUACAUUGUCUGAAGGUACUUUAUCACUACUAACUUAUGUAAGAAAACUCAUAAAUCAUCCUUAUCUUUCCUUUUGUCCAAGAUGCACAGUUGUCUACUCCAGGCAACACCUGAGCAGUUUAGUUUAUUUCUGCUCAAAAUACAGAAAAUUCUGUCCACAUGCAUAUUUCCCUAUUCGGAUAUUUAUUCAAUGCAUUUACAUUCUUCUCCAUAGUGUAACUCAGUGCACAUUUACUCUGUGCUUUUGAAAGAGUUGCAAGAAAAUGAUCUCUGUAUUCCAGCUCAUCAUGACUCAGCAUUGAAGGUAUUUUUAUCCAGAUCUCUUAAAUCAGCAUCCCAUUCAACACAGCUCCCAUCGGAACACUGGUCUGCCCUUUCUUUUUUUUUUUUUUUUUAAUUUUUUAUUGUGGGUUGUUCAAAACAUUACAAAUUUCUUGACAUAUCAUAUUCCACACUUUGAUUCUAGUGGGUUAUGAACUCCCACCUUCACCCCAUAUACAGAUUGCAGAUUCACAUCAGUUACACAUCCAUUGAUUUACAAAUUGCCAUACUAGUGUCUGUUGUGCUCCGCUGCCUUUCCCAUCAUCCACCCUCCCCCCUC